CAGUAGCCGCGGUAAUGCGUAGGUGGCAAGCGUUGUCCGGAAUUAUUGGGCGUAAAGGGCUCGCAGGCGGUUUCUUAAGUCUGAUGUGAAAGCCCCCGGCUCAACCGGGGGGGGUCAUUGGAAACUGGGAAACUUGAGUGCAGAAGAGGAGAGUGGAAUUCCACGUGUAGCGGUGAAAUGCGUAGAGAUGUGGAGGAACAUCAGUGGCGAAGGCGACUCUCUGGUCUGUAACUGACGCUGAGGAGCGAAAGCGUGGGGAGCGAACAGGAUUAGAUACCCCCGUAGUCCCUGUCUCUUAUAC
This 301-nucleotide ribosomal RNA is filed under the name uncultured bacterium. RNAcentral describes it as "partial 16S ribosomal RNA". It matches the Rfam family "Bacterial small subunit ribosomal RNA", at positions 509 to 807 of the family's 1533-position model. The record is from RNAcentral.